RNAcentral lists this ribosomal RNA (838 nucleotides) under uncultured archaeon. RNAcentral describes it as "bacterial SSU rRNA". It matches the Rfam family "Archaeal small subunit ribosomal RNA", at positions 41 to 878 of the family's 1478-position model. The record is from RNAcentral.
UGACUAAGCCAUGCAAGUCAUAUGUUCCUCGUGAACAUGGCAUACUGCUCAGUAACACGUGGAUAACCUGCCCUUGGGUCUGGGAUAACCCCGGGAAACUGGGGAUAAUACCGGAUAACGCAUAUGUGCUGGAAUGCUUUAUGCGUAAAACGGAUUCGUCCGCCCAAGGAUGGGUCUGCGGCCUAUCAGGUAGUAGUGGGUGUAAUGUACCUACUAGCCAACGACGGGUACGGGUUGUGAGAGCAAGAGCCCGGAGAUGGAUUCUGAGACAUGAAUCCAGGCCCUACGGGGCGCAGCAGGCGCGAAAACUUUACAAUGCGGGAAACCGUGAUAAGGGAACACCGAGUGCCAGCAUCAUAUGCUGGCUGUCCAGAUGUGUAAACUACAUCUGUUAGCAAGGGCCGGGCAAGACCGGUGCCAGCCGCCGCGGUAACACCGGCGGCCCGAGUGGUGACCGUUAUUAUUGGGUCUAAAGGGUCCGUAGCCAGUUUGGUCAGUCCUCCGGGAAAUCUGAUAGCUCAACUAUUAGACUUUCGGGGGAUACUGCCAGGCUUGGAACCGGGAGAGGUAAGAGGUACUACAGGGGUAGGAGUGAAAUCUUGUAAUCCCUGUGAGACCACCUGUGGCGAAGGCGUCUUACCAGAACGGGUUCGACGGUGAGGGACGAAAGCUGGGGGCACGAACCGGAUUAGAUACCCGGGUAGUCCCAGCCGUAAACUAUGCUCGCUAGGUGUCAGGCAUGGCGCGACCGUGUCUGGUGCCGCAGGGAAGCCGUGAAGCGAGCCACCUGGGAAGUACGGCCGCAAGGCUGAAACUUAAAGGAAUUGGCGGGGGAGCA